GGGACUGUUUCAGGGGCAGAGCAUCUGUUUGGCAUGCAGAAGGUUCCAGGUUCGAUCCCCGACAUCCCCA
RNAcentral lists this transfer RNA (70 nucleotides) under Sphaerodactylus townsendi. Its description in RNAcentral is "tRNA-Ala". The record is from RNAcentral. Lineage: Eukaryota; Metazoa; Chordata; Lepidosauria; Squamata; Sphaerodactylidae.